AGCCAUUGAUGAAAAAACAAUCACUUUUCUGACACCUCUUAUGAGAGCAUAGCUCCUGAUUCUACUUGUGGUCUGAGGCUC
Small nucleolar RNA from Dunckerocampus dactyliophorus (ringed pipefish), 81 nucleotides. RefSeq annotates it as small nucleolar RNA SNORD60. Lineage: Eukaryota; Metazoa; Chordata; Actinopteri; Syngnathiformes; Syngnathidae. The transcript has a single exon. The record is from RefSeq and is a predicted model, not a curated record.